This is a non-coding RNA of Odocoileus virginianus texanus, 367 nucleotides long. The record is from RefSeq and is a predicted model, not a curated record. NCBI's taxonomy places the organism in Eukaryota, Metazoa, Chordata, Mammalia, Artiodactyla, Cervidae.
GCGCGCCCCACCCGGGCCUGCUGGGACCAUUGGAGCCCCACGACAGCCACGUUCAGGGAUGCCUGUCUUGCACUUUGCUCCAGCGCGCCCGCCGAGAUCAUUCACACAAUGAUGCUUCUUCAAUGUGCCUGCUAAGUCACUUCAGUCGGGUCCAACUCUUUGCAACCCUGUGGACUGUGGCCUGCCAAGCUCCGCUGUGCACGGGAUUCUCCAGAGACCCCUUCAGCCUUGGAGCUCUAACUGCCAAACAAAGGUUCUGAUUGGCACUGAAAUUUCAUUUAUAGAAGCAACAAAUAUUUUGACUUGUAUACGAAGUAAUACUCAAAAUUCUCCAAGCUAGGCUUCAACAGUAUGUGAACCAAGAACU